AUGGUCCUCCGCGAGGCGCUCUCCCACGUCGGCCCGCGCCUCGUCUUCUCCUUCCAGCACGUCGUCAGCGGCUUCGCCGCCCGCCUCACGGACCGCGAGGUCGCCGAGCUCUCCAAGCUGCCCUGGUGCGUCGAGGCGCUCCCCGACGCCACCCUGCGAAUCACCACCACCUACACGCCGGAGCUGCUCGGGGUGUCCGCGCCGGCCACGGGCGCGUGGAGCGUCGCCGGGAGCAUGGGCGAGGGCGUCAUCGUCGGGGUCCUCGACAACGGGAUCGACCCGUGGCACGUCUCGUUCCUGGACGACGGCAUGCAGCCGCCGCCCGCCAAGUGGCGCGGCGGGUGCCACUUCGCCGGCGGGGCGCCCUGCAACAAGAAGCUCAUCGGCGGCCGGUCCAGGGCCCCGCAGGAGCACGGCACGCACACCUCCGGCACCGCCGUGGGCGCGUUCGUGCGGGACGUCCAGCUGCUCGGGGCCCCCGCCGGGGCGGCCUCCGGCAUGGCGCCGCGCGCGCACCUGGCCUUCUACGAGGUGUGCCUCGCCGACACCUGCUCCGCCACGGAGGUCCUCUCCGUCACCGAGAAGGGCGCGUUCCAGGACGGCGUCGACGUCAUCUCCAUGUCCAUCGGCGACGACACGCAGAAGCCCUUCUACAAGGACCUCAUCGCCGUCGGCAGCUUCUCCGCCGUCCUUUCCGGCGUCUUCGUCAGCACCAGCGCCGGGAACGCCGGCCCGCUCGAGCGCACCGUCACCAACUGCGCCCCGUGGCUGCUCACCGUCGCCGCCAGCACCAUGGGCCGCCGCCUCGUCUCCAGGCUGGAGCUCGGCAACGGGGUGGUGAUCGACGGCGAGAACCUGAACCCGUACGAGCCCGUCAAGGACAGGCCGCUCGUCUUCAUCGCGGGCAUGUUCGCCGACGGCGCGCUCAGCGCCGUCGACGUGCGCGGCAAGAUCGUGGCGUGCCAGCGCAAGGAGGACCCGUUCAUGCUCGCGGAGAUGAUCCAGAAGGCCGGCGGCGUGGGCAUGGUCAGCUGGUCCGGCCCGAAGCGCGGCGCCGCGACCACGCCCGUGGACGACCUCACCAUCGCCGCGGCGCGGGUGACGCACGCCGACGGCGAGAAGAUCAUCGCGUACGUCAACUCCACGCCCAACCCCACGGCCAGCCUCAGUUUCGCCGGCGCCGUGCUGAACCGGGCCUCCCUGCCGGCCAUCGCCGAGUACUCCUCGAGAGGGCCCUGCAACAUGUCCAGCGUCGGCGUGCUGAAGCCGGACAUCACCGGGCCCGGCACGGCCAUCGCCGCCUCCGUCCCCGGCGGCGCCAACGGCACCGCGCCGACCAGGACCUUCGGGCUGCACAGCGGCACGUCCAUGUCCACGCCGCACCUGUCCGGGAUCGUGGCCAUGAUCAAGAAAGCGCGCCCGCAGUGGUCACCGGCGGCGAUCAAGUCAGCGCUGAUGACAACCGCCGACGUGACGCACCCGGACGGCACCCCGAUCGUGGACGAGACCACCGGGAAGCCGAACUGCUUCGCCAUGGGCGCCGGGUUCGUGAACCCGACGCGGGCGCUUGACCCGGGGCUCGUCUACGACCUGGCGCCGGCGGACUACAUCCCCUACGUGUGCGGGCUCGGGUACAACGAGAGCGUGAUGAGCGAGAUCAUGGCGCAGCCGCUGCAGAACGUGAGCUGCGCCAAGGCGGGGAGGAUCCAGGGCAAGGACCUCAACUACCCGUCGAUCAUGGUGACGCUCACGCCGGCGGCGCCGGAGGUCGAGGUCAAGCGCGCGGUGACCAACAUCGGGGACCCCGUGUCGGCAUACACCCUGGAGGUCGUCCCGCCGGAGGACGUGGCCGUCGAGGUGGUGCCCAACGUGCUGACCUUCGGCUCAGUGAACCAGAGGAUGGAGUUCACGGUGAAGCUCAAGCGAGGCCCCAAUGCCACCGCCGUGGGCACCGCCGAGGGCAGCCUCCGGUGGGUCUCGGGCAAGCGGUCCGUGCGCAGCCCGAUCGCCGUGCUCUUCGAGCCACUGCCCAACUAA
This 2037-nucleotide ribosomal RNA is filed under the name Triticum aestivum (bread wheat). RNAcentral describes it as "partial small subunit ribosomal RNA". Lineage: Eukaryota; Viridiplantae; Streptophyta; Magnoliopsida; Poales; Poaceae. The record is from RNAcentral.